GGUUGCAGCGAGUGGUUACGAUCCACCGACCUCUGGGUUAUGGGCCCAGCACGCUUCCACUGCGCAAUGGAAC
Non-coding RNA from Teladorsagia circumcincta, 73 nucleotides. Lineage: Eukaryota; Metazoa; Nematoda; Chromadorea; Rhabditida; Trichostrongylidae. The record is from the annotation of a GenBank genome assembly.